UAAAGAAAGCGUAAUAGCUCACUGGUCGAGUCGGCCUGCGCGGAAGAUGUAACGGGGCUAAACCAUGCACCGAAGCUGCGGCAGCGACGCUGUGCGUUGUUGGGUAGGGGAGCGUUCUGUAAGCCUGUGAAGGUGGCCUGUGAGGGUUGCUGGAGGUAUCAGAAGUGCGAAUGCUGACAUAAGUAACGAUAAAGCGGGUGAAAAGCCCGCUCGCCGGAAGACCAAGGGUUCCUGUCCAACGUUAAUCGGGGCAGGGUGAGUCGACCCCUAAGGCGAGGCCGAAAGGCGUAGUCGAUGGGAAACGGGUUAAUAUUCCCGUACUUGGUGUUACUGCGAAGGGGGGACGGAGAAGGCUAUGUUGGCCGGGCGACGGUUGUCCCGGUUUAAGCGUGUAGGCUGGUUUUCCAGGCAAAUCCGGAAAAUCAAGGCUGAGGCGUGACGACGAGGCACUACGGUGCUGAAGCAACAAAUGCCCUGCUUCCAGGAAAAGCCUCUAAGCAUCAGGUAACACGAAAUCGUACCCCAAACCGACACAGGUGGUCAGGUAGAGAAUACCAAGGCGCUUGA
RNAcentral lists this ribosomal RNA (567 nucleotides) under Salmonella enterica subsp. enterica serovar Senftenberg. RNAcentral describes it as "partial 23S ribosomal RNA". It matches the Rfam family "Bacterial large subunit ribosomal RNA", at positions 1124 to 1693 of the family's 2925-position model. The record is from RNAcentral. Lineage: Bacteria; Pseudomonadati; Pseudomonadota; Gammaproteobacteria; Enterobacterales; Enterobacteriaceae.